UAGUCCACGCCGUAAACGAUGAUUACUCGCUGUAGGCGAUACACAGUCUGUGGCUAAGCGAAAGUUUUAAGUAAUCCACCUGGGGAGUACGAUCGCAAGAUUGAAACUCAAAGGAAUUGACGGGGGCCCGCACAAGCGGAGGAACAUGUGGUUUAAUUCGAUGAUACGCGAGGAACCUUACCUGGACUUAAAUGCAGUAUGACAGAUUUGGAAACAGAUUUUUCUUCGGACAUAUUGCAAGGUGCUGCAUGGUUGUCGUCAGCUCGUGCCGUGAGGUGUUGGGUUAAGUCCCGCAACGAGCGCAGCCCCUAUCGUUAGUUGCCAGCAUUAAGUUGGGGACUCUAACGAGACUGCCUACGCAAGUAGUGAGGAAGGCGGGGACGACGUCAAAUCAUCAUGGCCUUUAUGCCUAGGGCGACACACGUGCUACAAUGGUAGGUACAGAGGGUAGCGAAGCGGCGACGUGGAGCCAAUCCCAGAAAGCCUAUCCCAGUUCGGA
RNAcentral lists this ribosomal RNA (499 nucleotides) under uncultured bacterium. RNAcentral's name for it is "bacterial SSU rRNA". It matches the Rfam family "Bacterial small subunit ribosomal RNA", at positions 791 to 1297 of the family's 1533-position model. The record is from RNAcentral.